RNAcentral lists this ribosomal RNA (354 nucleotides) under Orobdella octonaria. RNAcentral's name for it is "partial 12S ribosomal RNA". The record is from RNAcentral. Lineage: Eukaryota; Metazoa; Annelida; Clitellata; Hirudinida; Orobdellidae.
UAUUAGCCUAAAAUAAGAUUGGAGAUUACAAGCAAUAGCUUAAAAACCCAAGAAAUUUGGCGGUGUUUUAUUCAAUCAGGGGGGCCUGUAUUUCAAAUUGAUAGUCCACGUUAAACUCUACCUAACUUUAAUAUUCUCUUAGCCUGUGUACUGCCGUUUAAUAGGUCCUUGAAGUCUCUUAUAAGUCAAUAUAAAAAUUAUAAGUCAGGUCAAAGUGCAGCAUAUAGUUAGGCACAAUAUGGGUUACAUCUUUAAAAUAUAAUAAAUUUAUAAAUUAAAUUUUAUAAUAAAAUUAGGACUUGAUAGUAAUUAUAUAAAUAUUUAUACUAUAAUGAAUAUGAACUUAAAAUAAGU